This 1910-nucleotide long non-coding RNA is filed under the name Anser brachyrhynchus (Pink-footed goose). Its description in RNAcentral is "lncRNA (ENSABRG00000017310.1)". Lineage: Eukaryota; Metazoa; Chordata; Aves; Anseriformes; Anatidae. The record is from RNAcentral.
AUGAUGUACUCCUUCCAUCCCCAAACAAUGUCCAGAAUAGCAUCAGUGGAGUUGGAGACGGAGUCUUUUGUGUGUCUCCCCGAUUCCUUCUCUUCUCCAAGAUUAAAUAAAUUAACUCCAACCACAGUACAGUCAAUGCUCUGGCUGUUUUGGAAACUGCCUCCUUGUGACACUCUCUGGUCUGAGCUUAAUACAAAUUUUGGGGAAAGUUCAAAAAAGGAAAGGCUGUUGAUUUUUCUUUCUUUCUUUUUCUUUUUCUUUCUUUCUUUCCUUCUUUCUUUCUUUCUUUCUUUCUCUCUCUCUCUCUCUUUCUCUCUUUUUCUUUCUUUCUUUUUUCUUUUUCUCUCUUUCUUUCUCUUUCUUUUUCUUUCUUUCUUUUCUUUCUCCUUUCAUUCUUUCUCUUUCUCUUUCUUUCUCUCUUUUUUUUUUCCCCUUCCUUUCCCCUCCUUGUCUUCCACCUAUGAAAGCACAAUAGUUGCAUUUAUAUGUCAGAAACAGACUGAAUUCUUCCUUCGAAUAAAAUAUGCCAUCCACCAUAUCCACCCUCUACAGUCUCUAACUCAAAAUAAUUCAGCAUUGGCUAGUGUAAAUGGAAUGGGUUUACUUUAAAGGAAAAAAUUACUUUUGGCUGCCCAUUAAAUGUCACAGAGGAAAUUCAUGGCAUGUAGGAAAACAACGGUGUACAGAACUGUUGAGCCAAGAUUGCCUAGCAGAUGUUGUAUUCAUUAUAGUGUAAGCAUUAUAAAAUCAUUUCUAAUGAGCAGAAAACAGGAAAAGCCUAUCUCCCUGUGGUGAUACUGUGAAGGCAGUACUGUUGUUAGAAGUCUUUUUUUUCUUCCUUUUGAUUUGUCAUGUGCUAAGAUUGGAAUCUAUAAAAUUUCCUCAGUGCUAUACGUGUGUAGAAGGCCUCAGGAUUUAGGAAAACAGUUAAUACCUGGUGAUUUGUUACUAUUUCCAGAACCAAGGCAAUUUCCAAUGCUUUUGAGAGCACUGAUCCAGAAGGCUGGCAAGGAAUGUUUCAGGGAAGUGAGGAAUUCCAACCCUAGCACUUGUGCCACACCAAUACAAACCUCUGCUUCUUCUUGCCAGACAUCAGCUCUGACUCAAGCAGAGAACCACAGCACAAUGACUUUGGGAUACCCUGAAAGUUGUCUCAUGUCCAGCUCCCUGCUACAGCAUCACCACCACCAAAAAUAUAAUUUACUUAGAGUCUCUUUGUUUGCUUCCUUUUGGAAAAUGGGUAGAAAAUACUUCUUUGUAUACCACUUUCUCACUGAGGUACCUGCUCUGGAAAGGCAGACUGCUACUUAUUUUCUGAUUAGAUAAAGCAUUUAAGCUUUCUGGAAACUGGUCCUCAGAUGGAGUUAACUUGGUUUCAGGGUAGAGUGGCCUAACAGUUCUACAAUAGCCAUGUGUUUUUAGUUUUGGUAAGUUUUUUGUUUGUUUGUUUUUAAUUUUUUUUGUAGUUGUUGAUGGGUAGUUAUUUUUGGUUGUUUCUUUCAGCAGGACUAACCGUCCUAACUGACAUUUGCUGACCAAGUCUUGAUUAAUUAAAUGUAACCUUUAAAAGAAAUUAAACCCCAAGUGUUUCACAAAGGACAACUAUUCUUCAUUUUUAAUUGUGCUGGUAAAAAAAAAUACUAAUGGAACACAGACUUUAAGAAAAGCUCUUAAAGGAUCGUAGGAUGAUUCGGGUGUAAGUGGAAGGAGGCCUCAGGAAGGCCUCAGUCCAACCAGCUGCUCAGGGCAGGGUCCAUUCUGAGCUCAGACUGGGUUGCUCAGGGUUUUACCCUGCUGGAUCCUGGGUAAAAGGAUCUACCUCCAAGGGUAGAGAUGGCACAGUCUCUGUGGGCAGCCUGUGCUGCAUGCAGCAUGGGGAAUAAACAAAGGGAUCUGGAGGUCUGAGUGCA